This 743-nucleotide ribosomal RNA is filed under the name Hydnellum ferrugipes. RNAcentral's name for it is "eukaryotic LSU rRNA". The stretch from base 294 to 447 matches the Rfam family "5.8S ribosomal RNA". The record is from RNAcentral. Lineage: Eukaryota; Fungi; Basidiomycota; Agaricomycetes; Thelephorales; Thelephoraceae.
GCGGAAGGAUCAUUAUUGAAUUCAUUGACAGUCUCGGGAUAUAUUAUAUAAUAAGGGGGGUUGUAGCUGGCCCAUCCCAAAUAGGUAUGUGCACACCCUUGAACCCCCCCGGGAUUGUCUACAAUGUUUUACACACCAUGUGCACAUCUGUAGCUGAGGGAUGAUUUUUACGGAGUUGCCAUUAAUUUUGGUGACUCUGAAUGCCCUCGCUAUGUUCAUAUAUAUUAUAUACACAUAUAAAUGUCAUUUGGAAUGUUUUGUGUCUAGCGUGUAACAGCGCGCGAAUGCAAUACAACUUUCAGCAACGGAUCUCUUGGCUCUCGCAUCGAUGAAGAACGCAGCGAAAUGCGAUAAGUAAUGUGAAUUGCAGAAUUCAGUGAAUCAUCGAAUCUUUGAACGCACCUUGCGCUCCUUGGUAUUCCGAGGAGCAUGCCUGUUUGAGUGUCAUGAAAUUCUCAACUGCUUUGGAUUUUGUUUCAAAGUGAAGUUGGAUUUGGAGUUGCUUAUUGUCGGCAUUGUUCGACUGCUCCUAAAAGCAUUUAAAGCCUGUGUUCUGAUAGAUUCUUGGCAUAGUUGACGUGAUAACUGCUACGUCGCACAAGCCUGGAGGAGGAACAGCUUAAUACUAUUAUAACACACUUGGAUCUUUUUUUCUUGAUUGUAUGUUGUGUUUCAUUGACCCAUUUGGCCUCAAAUCAGGCAGGACUACCCGCUGAACUUAAGCAUAUCAAUAAGCGGAGGAA